AAGAAGAAGAAAAACGUCGCAGGAGUAAGGAAAGUCAAAGAAAAGAAGAGGAAAGACCACAUAAAAACAAAAGGAAGAAAAGACCAAUGAAUUUAGGGGCGUAUCACUCUCCAGAACACACAACAAUUGAGAAACCACGCCGUAGAGCAUCAGGCUACUUUCGAAUUUUAUGGAGACGCCCUGUCCCUCAAAACGAACGGAUGAUGUACCUGUCUCCUUAUUACUUUUAAAGUGAUAAUGGCUUACGGAAACAGGUGUUAAACAGGGUUAUUGUCGUAAAGGACAACUUUUAACAUUUGUGUCUACAUAUAUGUAAUUGAUAGAAAUGUUUACAUCUACGCAGUCAGUUUAUCAAUGAUUUAGGACAACCUCCAAUUCGAGAAUACAUGUAUGUAAUUGAUAGAAAUGUUUUCAUCCACGCAGUCAAUUUAUCUGGAUUUAGAACAACUUCUUAUUUACGUAUACAGGUAUAUUGUUACAUGUCUCCCUUUAUCAGCUUAGUAAUCUCUGACUGCGAUUCGAUUAGAGUAUACACAGUAAAAAUGCUCAGUUGUAUGAUAAGCGCGGGAAUCGGUAGCAUAAUCAUGACGUCGUCUCUUUGUGAUGUUAUCGGAACGUCACCUAGACGGCGCCAUUUUGAAAAGACUGAUCAACUGAAACAUUUGCGUUAUGUGAUGAGGACAUUUUUUUACGUAUAGGUAGUCAAUGUGUCUGUGUUUUAGGACAACCUGAAACAUCUGUGAUGAUGACAAUUUUUUUUACGUUUGAGGUAGUCAAUAUAUCUGUGUUUUAGGACAACCUGAAACAUCUGUGAUGAGGACAUUUUUUUAAGUUUGAGGUAGUCAAUAUAUCUGUGUUUUAGGACAACCUGAAACAUCUGUGAUGAGGACAUUUUUUUACGUUUGAGGUAGUCAAUAUAUCUGUGUUUUAGGACAAUCUGAAACAUCUGUGAUGAGGACAUUUUUUACGUUUAGGUAGUCAAUAUAUCUGUGUUGUAGGAUUAUCUGUAGCAUCUGUGAUGAGGACAUUUUUUAAGUUGAGAUAGUCAACAUAUCCUGUUGUUGGACUAUCUGUAACAUCUGUGAUGAGGACAUUUUUUACGUUUAGGUAGUCAAUAUAUCUGACUUUUAACAAACUUUCAUGAUUUAAUGCAGAUGUACUGGUUAUGAGAUGAGGACGUUUUUUUUUAUGUCCGGUCUGUUUAUCUGUGAUUUAAGACAUCAUUUAACAAUUUUAUGUGAUAAAGAACAUCCUUUACGUCCAAGCUAUUUAUCUUUGGUUUGUGACAACCUGUAACAUAUGUAUGUGAUAAAAUACAUCAUGUAUGUCCAGACCCAAACUUUUAUCUGUGAUUUAGGACAACCUGUAACAUUGGUAUGUAAUAGAGGUUGAUGAGAAUAGUAUAAAACCUCUAAUCAAAACAAUAUAUAACCCCCUUAUCGGUAAUUAAUACCAUUAUUACAAUUAUAACAAUAUAUCUGACUUGUUGUUAGAUGUGUUUUUCAGUUGCUAUUUAUUUAUUUUGAUUACAUAGAACCUGACUUUUGGUGUGUUUAGAAAUUCUUUUUCGAAAUUAAGAAAAAAAUGCUGAUUAUAUGUUUAUCUCCUUUCUAAGACAAACCUAUAAGUAAGAAUUGUGAUAAGCCUAUAUACACCUUUAACACUUCAGUAGGCGAUUUAUAACACUUGUUACUGAAAAGUGAAAGGAUACAAGGUAUGCUGUGAUAUAUUAUUCUAUUCCAAAAAAGUGAAAUUUCACGUCGUGAAAUAUUUACUGAACAGCUCCUGUCAGAGCCCCAAAAUACAGCAAAUUUGCUACAUCGUAAGAGAUAAUACCCUGUGAUAAGGAAAUCAUACCUUCAAAAAAUGCCCAGAGUCGCAUCGAAGUUUACAAAUAAAAAGAAAUGUGAUAAUUUCCGUGUUUUGGAAUUGCGUUUUUAGCUCAGAUUUUAUAUCCGUAUAUGUUGCAAGUCGCAUUAUUUCAAUACUGAUAAUUUAAGAUGAUUGUUAUUGCGUGUAUGACUAAGGGAAACUUUUCCUGGCAGGUUAGCUAUCAUAUCUAUGUAAUGCUUCGUGUAUUUAUCUGUGAUAUCUGAUAAAUGGUGAGUAAUUAGAUGUUGGGUCUAUUUGGUUGCUUUGGUGGUAUAAAAACACUGUAUUUCAA
Pecten maximus is the source of this 2164-nucleotide long non-coding RNA. RefSeq lists it as uncharacterized. Lineage: Eukaryota; Metazoa; Mollusca; Bivalvia; Pectinida; Pectinidae. The transcript is spliced from 2 exons. The record is from RefSeq and is a predicted model, not a curated record.